RNAcentral lists this ribosomal RNA (464 nucleotides) under uncultured bacterium. RNAcentral's name for it is "partial 16S ribosomal RNA". It matches the Rfam family "Bacterial small subunit ribosomal RNA", at positions 338 to 795 of the family's 1533-position model. The record is from RNAcentral.
CCUACGGGAGGCAGCAGUGGGGAAUCUUCCGCAAUGGGCGAAAGCCUGACGGAGCAACGCCGCGUGAUCGAAUGAAGGCCUUCGGGUUGUAAAGAUCUGUUGACAGGGACGAAUAAGCAAUGCAAAUAGUUUUGUGUCUGACGGUACCUGUUUAGAAAGCUCCGGCUAACUACGUGCCAGCAGCCGCGGUAAGACGUAGGGAGCAAGCGUUGGCCGGAAUUACUGGGGGGAAGGGGCGCGUAGGUGGGCGCUUAAGUCAGGUGUGAAAACGACGGGCUCAACCUGGAGACUGCACUUGAAACUGGGUGUCUUGAGGGCAGGAGAGGAAAGUGGAAUGCCUAGUGUAGCGGUGAAAUGCGUAGAUAUUAGGAGGAACACCAGUGGCGAAGGCGACUUUCUGGACUGUACCUGACGCUGAGGCGCGAAAGCGUGGGUAGCGAACGGGAUUAGAUACCCUGGUAGUC